UGGGGAAUAUUGCACAAUGGGGGAAACCCUGAUGCAGCGACGCCGCGUGAGCGAAGAAGGUUUUCGAAUCGUAAAGCUCUGUCCUAUGAGAAGAUAAUGACGGUAUCAUAGGAGGAAGCCCCGGCUAAAUACGUGCCAGCAGCCGCGGUAAUACGUAUGGGGCGAGCGUUGUCCGGAAUUAUUGGGCGUAAAGGGUACGUAGGCGGUCUAUUAAGUCAGGUGUGAAAGCGUGAGGCUUAACCUCAUUAAGCACUUGAAACUGAUAGACUUGAGUGAAGGAGAGGAAAGUGGAAUUCCUAGUGUAGCGGUGAAAUGCGUAGAUAUUAGGAAGAACACCGGCGGCGAAGGCGACUUUCUGGACGAAAACUGACGCUGAGGCGCGAAAGCGUGGGGAGCAAACAGG
Molecule: ribosomal RNA, 403 nt
Filed under: Verrucomicrobiota bacterium
Lineage: Bacteria; Pseudomonadati; Verrucomicrobiota
Description: Verrucomicrobia bacterium partial 16S ribosomal RNA
Rfam family: Bacterial small subunit ribosomal RNA
Source: RNAcentral